UUAACUAUUAUAUAGUACUCAGACGACACUAAUAUUUAGAGUUUGGGGUCCUCUGGCGAGCACUCACCAGCGUGAGCCGGUGGCCGAAGCGGCUCGCCAAAGCAACAAAGGUACAAUAACAUAGGGUUGGAGAGUCACCCGUGAGGGCGAUGUUCUCUGUAAUGAUCCUUCCGCAGGUUCACCUACGGAAA
This 191-nucleotide unclassified non-coding RNA is filed under the name uncultured fungus. RNAcentral's name for it is "sequence contains ITS1". Lineage: Eukaryota; Fungi. The record is from RNAcentral.